RNAcentral lists this ribosomal RNA (451 nucleotides) under uncultured bacterium. Its description in RNAcentral is "bacterial SSU rRNA". It matches the Rfam family "Bacterial small subunit ribosomal RNA", at positions 30 to 477 of the family's 1533-position model. The record is from RNAcentral.
AUUGAACGCUGGCGGCAGGCCUAACACAUGCAAGUCGAGCGGAUGAGUGGAGCUUGCUCCAUGAUUCAGCGGCGGACGGGUGAGUAAUGCCUAGGAAUCUGCCUGGUAGUGGGGGACAACGUUUCGAAAGGAACGCUAAUACCGCAUACGUCCUACGGGAGAAAGCAGGGGACCUUCGGGCCUUGCGCUAUCAGAUGAGCCUAGGUCGGAUUAGCUAGUAGGUGAGGUAAUGGCUCACCUAGGCGACGAUCCGUAACUGGUCUGAGAGGAUGAUCAGUCACACUGGAACUGAGACACGGUCCAGACUCCUACGGGAGGCAGCAGUGGGAAUAUUGGACAAUGGGCGAAAGCCUGAUCCAGCCAUGCCGCGUGUGUGAAGAAGGUCUUCGGAUUGUAAAGCACUUUAAGUUGGAGGAAGGUUGUAGAUUAAUACUCUGCAAUUUUGACGUUA